This 652-nucleotide long non-coding RNA is filed under the name Marmota monax (woodchuck). The record is from RNAcentral. Lineage: Eukaryota; Metazoa; Chordata; Mammalia; Rodentia; Sciuridae.
AAGACUUGUACUCUAUAAAUUCUUCCCCAUCCCCAUCUUUUUCUAGGUUAAGCCAUGCAUCUCCCCACCUUGUAAAAAUAAAAUAAAAAAAGACAAAUCCCCGGUCAGGUCCGCUCUAGAGAGCAAUAAACCUCUUUCCUCCUUGACAUUGUUCUUUUAUAAACACCAGGUAAACUCGACUAGAAGAUAAAUAAUUGAGCCAUUGCGUUUACUGGAUUGUGGUGUUGCUUAAUUGCAUGGGACAGAAUGAACCAAUCAAGAGUGGGAGUUUUCUGUCUCAGAGCCAAGAUCUUGGGUAAAUGCAGAAUAGAGGGAAACAAAGACAGGCUGGCCUUGGCCAAGCCCGGUGUGCCAACUUUACCUGUUGAGGGGUGUGGUUGCACUUAAAUUAGCAAAAUUCAAACUCUCACCCAAGUUGCUUUUUUCACAUUUAGUACAUAUCACUCUGUAAUAUUAAGUGUGUGGUGUUGGCGAAACCAGUGGUUAGUCUUUUUUUUUUUUUAAACUUCUUUAAAAAUUUAACUUUAUUUUUAAUGGUAUUGGGAUUGAACCCUGGCCUUCACAUGUUAGGCAAGCACUCUACCACUGGGCUACAUCCCCAUCCAUUUAUUUUAUUUUGAGACAUGGUUUUGCUAAGUUGCCCAGGCUGUCC